CAUUUUAUAUCUACAAAACAUCCAUGAAAAUUAUUGAUGCUCCAUGCAUCCAUGGACAUGUGCAAUGUACAGAAACUUUCUGACUGCAACUUCACAAACAGGACAGACUUCAAACACUUUGAGCAGGAUAUGGGAUUGUAUACAUGUACAUAGAAAGUUUACAUGUGUUAUAUUACAUUUAGUAUCUUACACAUGUACAUCAACCAUAGUCAUAUGUGCAAACUUAUUUGGAGCUUGUACAGUUGUACAUACUUCCAUGUGUUUAAAUGGAUGUGCUAAUUUGAUAUACUUUUUUAAACUUCCUUUUCCCGAAAAUGACCAAAUUUGUCCCAAACUGAGAACAUCGACUCAGAAAUAUAACAAUCAAUAUUUACAUGAAGUGUUCUAUGUACAUUGUAGGUUGAAAAUAAACUUAAUAUUUCCAAUCAGUCUUGAAAAAAAAACCCCGCAUGUGUC
This is a long non-coding RNA of Patiria miniata (bat star), 456 nucleotides long. RefSeq lists it as uncharacterized. The transcript is spliced from 3 exons. The record is from RefSeq and is a predicted model, not a curated record. NCBI's taxonomy places the organism in Eukaryota, Metazoa, Echinodermata, Asteroidea, Valvatida, Asterinidae.